GUCAGUGUGGCCGAGUGGUUAAGGCGAUUGACUCGAACCAUCAUAUUCGUUAUCAAUUCCAUUCGUGGGCACAGGUUCGAAUCCUGUCGCUGACG
This is a transfer RNA of Aspergillus oryzae, 95 nucleotides long. It matches the Rfam family "tRNA". Rfam says of the family: Transfer RNA (tRNA) molecules are approximately 80 nucleotides in length. Their secondary structure includes four short double-helical elements and three loops (D, anti-codon, and T loops). Further hydrogen bonds mediate the characteristic L-shaped molecular structure. tRNAs have two regions of fundamental functional importance: the anti-codon, which is responsible for specific mRNA codon recognition, and the 3' end, to which the tRNAs corresponding amino acid is attached (by aminoacyl-tRNA synthetases). tRNAs cope with the degeneracy of the genetic code in two manners: having more than one tRNA (with a specific anti-codon) for a particular amino acid; and 'wobble' base-pairing, i.e. permitting non-standard base-pairing at the 3rd anti-codon position. Lineage: Eukaryota; Fungi; Ascomycota; Eurotiomycetes; Eurotiales; Aspergillaceae. The record is from Rfam.